UUAGAAUUUAUCCGACAUUGAGUCGGCGACGAUUCUCAUCGAUCGGAGUUGUGUCCCCAAUUCGCGGAGAUGCCCAAUCUUCCUUUAGUCGCAGUUCUUUCGUUUGCUCUCAGAAUCUUGGUUUGAGCGGUGGAAUCAGUGGUUUCAGUGCACCUGAAGCUCUGCCAAAUGUUUGUGAAAAUGCCACUCCUUCUUCCAUCAAAUCUUUCAACCAGCUUGUGGUGCAAAAGUAGCAAAGGUAAUAGAGGAUUAAGCUACAGAUUAAUGGAGAAAAGAAGCUGACUUUCAAUGAGUUUUUGAAAGACCCAUCUGGCAUGGAGGCUGUGAUCAACGCUAAGGCUUUGCAGAGUUAUCAUUUAAUUGAAGAU
Arabidopsis lyrata subsp. lyrata is the source of this 368-nucleotide long non-coding RNA. RefSeq lists it as uncharacterized. The transcript is spliced from 3 exons. The record is from RefSeq and is a predicted model, not a curated record. NCBI's taxonomy places the organism in Eukaryota, Viridiplantae, Streptophyta, Magnoliopsida, Brassicales, Brassicaceae.